CUUUACUGCAACCUGGAAUUGAAUUUGGGUUUUUUUUGUGCAGUAUAGGUGGGAGAUUAUAAUUUUAUUUACAGUCGUUAGUGAGAUACCACCCUUAAAAAGCUAGAAUUCUAAGAGCGUUCCUUGAAACAGGACGCUUAACAGUUCUUGGUGGGCAGUUUGACUGGGGCGGUCAUCUCUUAAAAGGUAACAGAGAUGUGCAAAGGUUCCUUCAGGCUGGAUGGAAAUCAGUUGUAGAGUGUAAAGGCAUAAGGGAGCUUGACUGUAAGACUUACAAGUCAAACAGAGGCGAAAGCCGGCCUUAGUGAUCCGACGGUACCGUGUGGAAGGGCCGUCGCUAAACGGAUAAAAGUUA
Molecule: ribosomal RNA, 355 nt
Filed under: uncultured organism
Description: bacterial LSU rRNA
Rfam family: Bacterial large subunit ribosomal RNA
Source: RNAcentral